CCUAUCAGUUGUCAUAUUGAACAUGAAGAGAUGUGAGCAUCUUGUAAUUGACAGAUGCAGUGAAAGGAGCAUCUCUUUAUCAAAUCCUCCUUCAGAGUCACAUGCAGGUAACACAUUGUGAUUUCUAUAUAGUACUGUAUCUGAAAGAGCAUAUUCUGCAGGUUAAACAUUGUGAUUUCUAUAUAAUACUGUAUCUGAAAGAGCAGAUUCUGCAGGUUAAACAUUGUGAUUUCUAUAUAGUACUGUAUCUGAAAGAGCAGAUUCUGCAGUUUCCUUGACACUUACCUUUAUCAAAUAACUCU
This 302-nucleotide long non-coding RNA is filed under the name Salmo salar (Atlantic salmon). RNAcentral's name for it is "lncRNA (ENSSSAG00000098322.1)". Lineage: Eukaryota; Metazoa; Chordata; Actinopteri; Salmoniformes; Salmonidae. The record is from RNAcentral.